Cynoglossus semilaevis (tongue sole) is the source of this 546-nucleotide long non-coding RNA. RefSeq lists it as uncharacterized. The record is from RefSeq and is a predicted model, not a curated record. NCBI's taxonomy places the organism in Eukaryota, Metazoa, Chordata, Actinopteri, Pleuronectiformes, Cynoglossidae. The transcript has 4 exons.
GCCUGUGGACGCGGGACAGACUUUAACACCUGCCUUUCUGCCAUACGUCUUAUCUGCACCACGUCAUUCUCACCUGCCUUCUCGACAGCUUCUCUCAUCUCUGUGGAGCUCAUUGUACCAGAAUUAUCCACAUCCUUCUCACGGUAGAUAUUCUGUUGAAGAGAACAACAUGAAGGACGGAGAAAAGACAAAACAAAGCAAGAAGUCCACAGAAUUUUGAACUCCACCAGACCGAGUUUCCCGGUGCCGUCUUUCUGCAGAAGUGGUCAGGAAAUCAAUGUUUCAGAGUCUACCCUCUCUGAUUACUUAUGAGAUCGAAGGAUACAUCCAAAAGGUUGACCAUGUUGCGACAAGUCGAGAGGCUGAAGCCGCUGGUCUUGAUGUCGGAUCCUGUGACACAUAUUUGCACUCAGUACCAUAGACCUCCCUGCUCAAGACUUUACCUCAUAGAUGGCGAAGCCGAUGGUGUGCAUGUCCUCGCCCAUCUUCCUCAUACAUCUGCGGUUCUUCUGGAUCAGACCCACUAUGAAGCUGCAGCCAGCCUCG